AGAAGUUUGAACCAUAUAUAUAUACCCAUAUACAGACUCACAAUUUUUUUGCCGUUUCUUAUUUUGUGCCGAAGCUAUUUAUAAAUCACAGGCUGAAACAUCCGCUGAUAUUUUUUCUUCUGUGGUUU
RNAcentral lists this small RNA (128 nucleotides) under Arabidopsis thaliana (thale cress). RNAcentral's name for it is "ATSL079090". Lineage: Eukaryota; Viridiplantae; Streptophyta; Magnoliopsida; Brassicales; Brassicaceae. The record is from RNAcentral.